RNAcentral lists this ribosomal RNA (735 nucleotides) under uncultured Fusobacterium sp. Its description in RNAcentral is "bacterial SSU rRNA". It matches the Rfam family "Bacterial small subunit ribosomal RNA", at positions 28 to 776 of the family's 1533-position model. Lineage: Bacteria; Fusobacteriati; Fusobacteriota; Fusobacteriia; Fusobacteriales; Fusobacteriaceae. The record is from RNAcentral.
GAUGAACGCUGACAGAAUGCUUAACACAUGCAAGUCAACUUGAAUUUGGGUUUUUAACUUAGAUUUGGGUGGCGGACGGGUGAGUAACGCGUGAAGAACUUGCCUCACAGCUAGGGACAACAUUUAGAAAUGAAUGCUAAUACCUGAUAUUAUGAUUUUAAGGCAUCUUAGAAUUAUGAAAGCUAUAAGCACUGUGAGAGAGCUUUGCGUCCCAUUAGCUAGUUGGAGAGGUAACAGCUCACCAAGGCGAUGAUGGGUAGCCGGCCUGAGAGGGUGAACGGCCACAAGGGGACUGAGACACGGCCCUUACUCCUACGGGAGGCAGCAGUGGGGAAUAUUGGACAAUGGACCGAGAGUCUGAUCCAGCAAUUCUGUGUGCACGAUGAAGUUUUUCGGAAUGUAAAGUGCUUUCAGUUGGGAAGAAAAAAAUGACGGUACCAACAGAAGAAGUGACGGCUAAAUACGUGCCAGCAGCCGCGGUAAUACGUAUGUCACGAGCGUUAUCCGGAUUUAUUGGGCGUAAAGCGCGUCUAGGUGGUUAUGUAAGUCUGAUGUGAAAAUGCAGGGCUCAACUCUGUAUUGCGUUGGAAACUGUAUAACUAGAGUACUGGAGAGGUAAGCGGAACUACAAGUGUAGAGGUGAAAUUCGUAGAUAUUUGUAGGAAUGCCGAUGGGGAAGCCAGCUUACUGGACAGAUACUGACGCUAAAGCGCGAAAGCGUGGGUAGCAAACAGG